UGUCAACGUCACAUCUUUCUUGCCGUGGUUGUAGUUGUACCGAAAUGAAAAAUUCUGAAAAAUAUUCCUUCUAAUGUCUUUAUAAAUUAAUAAUUGACUUUGUAACAGCCAAAAUCAUGCGUCGGGUUGUUUUGAUCUUUGUCACACUAAUCUUGUGCGUUGCGGCGUGGGAUGACGGUGAUUUUGAAGUGUUUGACGUGGUCGAAGAAGUUAACCAGAAUUUCUAUGAAUUGAUGGGAGUUUCUCAGGAUGCAUCUUCUUCAGAAAUCAAGUCAGCUUUUAAAAAGCUUACUUUGAAGCUACAUCCAGACAAGAAUGAUGCUCCGGACGCGGACGUGCAGUUCAGGAACCUAGUUUCUGUUCAUAAUAUUUUGAAGGACCCUGGGAAAAGAGAGAAAUACAAUGAAGUCCUCAAGAACGGUCUACCAAACUGGCGGUCUGCUGUAUACUAUUACCGCCACGUCCGUAAGAUGGGCCUGGCGGAGGGCUCGCUCAUUCUGUUCAUUAUUGUCACUUUCGGACAGUAUGCUGUCAGUUGGGCUGCUUAUGCUGAGAAGAGAUACACUGCUGAACAAAUCCUAAACACUCGAGGGAAGAAACACAUAAAGAAAUCGGGUUUUGACACCGGUUUAUCGGACAUAUUGGAUCAGCUGCCGAAACCCAGUAUCAAGGACACAUUGCCAUUCCAAAUACCCCGUAUGGUAUGGUGGACCAUCAUGGCCAUACCAAGAGGAAUCUCAGAGUUCAAGAGGAGAAAGAAGGAACAAGAAGAAGAAGCAAGGAGACAGAAGAAGAGAGAGGAAGAAGAGAAGGCGCGUGCGCAGCGCGAGGCGGCGGCGGCGGCCGAGGCUAAGGAGCGCGGCGCCCGGCGGCGGCGGGGCUUCGUGCCGCCCGAGCGGGCCUGCCUGCUGGACGCGGGGGACGAGCCCGAGGGGGACGCUCCGCCCCAGAGGGCUGCUCCGGCCCCACCAGUGAUAACAGGCGGUCUGUGGACAGACGACGACCUGGCGGAGCUGGUUAGGCUGGUCAAGAAGUACCCCGGCGGCAGCGGCGAGCGCUGGGAGCGGAUAGCGGAGAGCAUGUGUCGCUCCGUGGCCGAGGUCACCCACAUGGCCGCCAAGAUGAAGGAGAACUGCUACAAGCUGCCCGGGCAGGAGCCAGAAGCACCUGUACUGGAACCGCCCAAGAAGGUGAAAACCCGCAAGACAGAGGAGUCGAGCGGCGGGAGCUGGUCGCAAGCGCAGCAGGCCGCGCUGGAGACGGCGCUGGCCAAGCACCCCAAGGGGGGCGCCGGCGACCGCUGGCAGAAAAUCGCAGGCGCCGUGCCGGGGAAGACCAAGGAGGAAUGUAUGCAAAGAUGUAAAUAUCUGUCGGAAAUGGUGAAGAAGCAGAAACAGAAAGAAGAAGAAGAACAAAACCAGAGCCAAGGGAACGGAGAGUGUAAAAACGACAACGAAGACACCUCGUAAUGUGCACCUUAUUUAUAUGGGCUUAACGUUGACCAUUGAAAGUGAUCUUAUGGCUUUGACUGAGAGUAAUAAUUCGUGACGAUUUUGUGGAUCAAAAUUUAAUUUCUUUAGUUUGACAGUUCAAAACUAGCGCUAUCUCUUUUUUGCACUAAGCGCAAGUGAAGGAUGGCAGUAUUUUGAGAGUUGUCAUACUAAAAUAUAUAUUAUAUAAGUUUUGUCCGGAAGCAGCACUUUUAAUAAAACUAUACUAAAAUUGCUUUUGUAUAAUGACAAUUUUAUUUGGAAAUGUGAAAAAUUAUCAUUUUUAAUGGAUUAUUUUUUAACUGUGGCAAUGUUAUUUUGAUUUAGCAAAAUUAUUCUAAAUCCGUUACUCCGUCCGAAAACUAUUCGUUUAAUUUUUACAUUUUUUUUGUAAACACCCUAUUCGGAUAUUUAAGCUUGUUGAUUCAACAUAUCGAAACGUUUGCAACUUGGCUAGGCCGCAGAAGUUUGUGAAGAAAUCGCACUGCUAUGAGAUAGCAGAGGGUGCAUAGACAUUUGAACAUCACAAGAAGUCCCGCUGUAAAGAUUGUACUCAUUGAUGGGUAUUUUGUUGUUAUUACGUAUUAGGUUCAACCUGUAUAUUUAUAAAACUCUUUUUAUGUUACGUAUAUCAUUAUGUGAUCUUACUGACGUAUCUACACUACACAUUUUAGGACGUAUCUGCUAUUUUAAGUGAAACUUACAAGCAAGACCAGUGUUUAUCAAAACUUACAAGCCCUGUUAUAUGUUCUUCUAAUAAGAAGAAAUUAUUAUUAUUAUUAUUAACUCAGGCAGGCAGUUUUCACUGAUAAGUGCCUGUAUUCAACUUUUCAGUUGUGUUUUCCUUUCUCUGUUUUAUGGUAAUUGUCCAAUUUGUUUUUGAAGGUGUUGAUGCUAGAAGCGGAGACCACGUCCUGCGGCAGCCCGUUCCACGCUGUUACUACUCUGUUAGUCAGGAAAUGCUUAUGGGGGUUGUUGUUUGAAAUUCUUUUACAGGGUUUGAGCGUAUGACCUCUUAGAUUGGUGUAAUUCUCUUGUAAUAAUUUUCAUAAUUACAAGAAUGUGUUUAUCAAAGGAGCUCGGUGGCGCAGCGGUAAACGCGCUCGGUCUGCGAUUGUUGAAGUUAAGCAACUUGCGCAAAGGCCGGUCAUAGGAUGGGUGACCACAAAAAAAAGUUUUUUGUCGAGCUUCUCCGUGCUUCGGAUGGCACGUUAAGCCGUUGGUCCCGGCUGCAUUAGCAGUCGUUAAUAACCAUCAAUCCGCACUGGGCCCGCGUGAUGGUUUAAGGCCCGAUCUCCCUAUCCAUCCAUAGGGAAGGCCCGUGCCCCAGCAGUGGGGACGUUAAUGGGCUGAUGAUGAUGAUUAAUUUAAACAAACCGUAUUUCUAUAAAUAAUUAAGCGCCUUGUUCGAAAAAUCACAUUCGGAUGUCAUUGUCCGCAUGAUCGCCAAAACUUCGCAAUAGACAAGUUAGUUUCAAUUCAAGUAAGAAUUUGUUGUUGAAUUUGUUAAAUUUUUAUAGGGUAUGAAAUUUAAAAAGUCGAGUUAUUGUGAAGAAACAGCCUCGGUGGUCUAGUGGUUAGAGCGUUAGGCUCACGAUCUGGAGGUCCGGGUUCGAUUCCCGAUGGGGACAUUGUCUAAAUCACUUUGUAAGACUGACCUUUGGUAAGGACUUGAUGAUGAUGAUGUAUAGAAUUGCGUUGCUACCUAUAUUGCUUCUCUUUAUUUUGAUCCGAAUAAUAAUAGGUGGAAGAUGUAAUUGUGCCUGGGUGUAAUAAAAAGGGUCAUCAUUUAUACCCGAAAAGAGAGAUAAAAGAUGCAUAAAUAUGGCUUCGUUCCGGACACAUUCCAACAAAUAA
This 3347-nucleotide unclassified non-coding RNA is filed under the name Pectinophora gossypiella (pink bollworm). RNAcentral's name for it is "dnaJ homolog subfamily C member 1". The stretch from base 3050 to 3121 matches the Rfam family "tRNA". Lineage: Eukaryota; Metazoa; Arthropoda; Insecta; Lepidoptera; Gelechiidae. The record is from RNAcentral.